RNAcentral lists this ribosomal RNA (442 nucleotides) under uncultured bacterium. Its description in RNAcentral is "partial 16S ribosomal RNA". It matches the Rfam family "Bacterial small subunit ribosomal RNA", at positions 338 to 795 of the family's 1533-position model. The record is from RNAcentral.
CCUACGGGAGGCAGCAGUGGGGAAUAUUGGGCAAUGGGCGCAAGCCUGACCCAGCAACGCCGCGUGAAGGAAGAAGGCUUUCGGGUUGUAAACUUCUUUUGACAGGGAAGAGCAGAAGACGGUACCUGUCGAAUAAGCCACGGCUAACUACGUGCCAGCAGCCGCGGUAAUACGUAGGUGGCAAGCGUUGUCCGGAUUUACUGGGUGUAAAGGGCGUGUAGCCGGGCUGACAAGGCAGAGGUGAAAUCCGGGGGCUUAAACCCCGAACUGCAUUUGAAACUGUUGAGCUAGAGUGCUGGAGAGGUAAGUGGAAUUCCUAGUGAAGCGGUGAAAUGCGUAGAUAUUAGGAGGAACACCAGUGGCGAAGGCGGCUUACUGGACAGUAACUGACGUUGAGGCUCGAAAGCGUGGGGAGCAAACAGGAUUAGAUACCCGUGUAGUC